Molecule: long non-coding RNA, 295 nt
Filed under: Pongo abelii (Sumatran orangutan)
Lineage: Eukaryota; Metazoa; Chordata; Mammalia; Primates; Hominidae
Description: lincRNA
Source: RNAcentral
GCUUAUAGUCUCAGCUACUCAGGAGGCUGAAGUGGGAGGAUCACUUGAGCCUGGGAGGCAAAGGCUUGCAGUGAGCCCAGAUUGCACCACUGCACUCUAGCCUGGGUGACAGAGUGAGACCGUGUCUCCAAAAAAAAAAAAAAAAAACAGACACAUUUCAAUAAAAACAUUACUGUAUAAGGUAUUAAAAUUAUGUGUUAACAUUUGAUCACCAAAGGAAAUAUAAGCAUUAUUGCAUUCUAUCUUUUAGUAUUGUUAAAUUUCUUUAUUUAGUCGAUGUUGUAUUAAAGUUAAA